Molecule: small nuclear RNA, 103 nt
Filed under: Neotoma lepida (desert woodrat)
Lineage: Eukaryota; Metazoa; Chordata; Mammalia; Rodentia; Cricetidae
Source: RNAcentral
GUAAUCACUUCUGCAGCACAUAUUCUAAAUUUGAAAUGAUAUGGAGAAGAUUAGCAUUGUCCCUGCAAAUAACAUGUGAAUUUUUAAAGUGCUAUAAUUUUUU